This 467-nucleotide ribosomal RNA is filed under the name uncultured bacterium. Its description in RNAcentral is "partial 16S ribosomal RNA". It matches the Rfam family "Bacterial small subunit ribosomal RNA", at positions 29 to 507 of the family's 1533-position model. The record is from RNAcentral.
ACGAACGCUGGCGGCGUGCUUCACACCUGCAAGUCGCACUGUGAAGCUCCAGCUUGCUGGAGUGGAUCAGUGGCGAACGGGUGAGUAACACGUGAGCAACCUGCCCCUGACUCUGGAAUAAGCGCUGGAAACGGCGUCUAAUACUGGAUACGAGAAGGGUCCGCAUGGGCACUUUCUGGAAAGUUUUUCGGUUGGGGAUGGGCUCGCGGCCUAUCAGCUUGUUGGUGAGGUAAUGGCUCACCAAGGCGACGACGGGUAGCCGGCCUGAGAGGGCGACCGGCCACACUGGGACUGAGACACGGCCCAGACUCCUACGGGAGGCAGCAGUGGGGAAUAUUGCACAAUGGGCGAAAGCCUGAUGCAGCGACGCCGCGUGAGGGAUGACGGCCUUCGGGUUGUAAACCUCUUUCAGCAGGGAAGAAGCGAAAGUGACGGUACCUGCAGAAGAAGCACCGGCUAACUACGUG